Molecule: transfer RNA, 72 nt
Filed under: Chelonia mydas (Green sea turtle)
Lineage: Eukaryota; Metazoa; Chordata; Testudines; Cheloniidae
Rfam family: tRNA
About the family: Transfer RNA (tRNA) molecules are approximately 80 nucleotides in length. Their secondary structure includes four short double-helical elements and three loops (D, anti-codon, and T loops).
Source: Rfam by way of RNAcentral
GGAAGAUUGGCUUUGUGAUUACAGCAGUGGGCUUGGAUUUAGGAGGUCUAGGUUCAAGUCCUGGAUCUACCA